GACGAACGCUGGCGGCGUGCUUAACACAUGCAAGUCGAGCGGUAAGGCCCUUUCGGGGGUACACGAGCGGCGAACGGGUGAGUAACACGUGGGUGACCUGCCCUCAGCUCUGGGAUAAGCCUGGGAAACUGGGUCUAAUACUGGAUAUGACUCCACGGUGCAUGUCGUGGGUGGAAAGCCUUGUGCGGCUGAGGAUGGGCCCGCGGCCUAUCAGCUUGUUGGUGGGGUGAUGGCCUACCAAGGCGACGACGGGUAGCCGGCCU
Molecule: ribosomal RNA, 263 nt
Filed under: uncultured bacterium
Lineage: Bacteria
Description: partial 16S ribosomal RNA
Rfam family: Bacterial small subunit ribosomal RNA
Source: RNAcentral